Molecule: ribosomal RNA, 497 nt
Filed under: uncultured bacterium
Lineage: Bacteria
Description: partial 16S ribosomal RNA
Rfam family: Bacterial small subunit ribosomal RNA
Source: RNAcentral
GAUGAACGCUGGCGGCGUGCCUAAUACAUGCAAGUCGAGCGAACGGACGAGAAGCUUGCUUCUCUGAUGUUAGCGGCGGACGGGUGAGUAACACGUGUAUAACCUACCUAUAAGACUGGGAUAACUUCGGGAAACCGGCGCUAAUACCGGAUGAUAUUUUGAACCGCAUGGUUCGAAAGUGAGAGACGGUCUUGCUGUCACUUAUCGAUGGUUCCGCGCUGCAUUGGCUAGUUGGUAAGUUAACGGCUUACCACGGCAACGAUGCAUAGCCGACCUGAGAGGGUGAUAGGCCACACUGGAACGGAGACACGGUCCAGACUCCUACGGGAGGCAGCAGUAGGGAAUCUUCCGCAAUGGGCGAAAGCCUGACGGAGCAACGCCGAGUGAGUGAUGAAGGUCUUCGGUUCGUAAAACUCUGUUAUGAGGGAAGAACAGAUGUGUAAGGAACUGUGCACAGCUUGACGGUACCGAAUCAGAAAGCAACGGCUAACUACGUG